Molecule: ribosomal RNA, 158 nt
Filed under: Dentiscutata savannicola
Lineage: Eukaryota; Fungi; Glomeromycota; Glomeromycetes; Diversisporales; Gigasporaceae
Description: 5.8S ribosomal RNA
Rfam family: 5.8S ribosomal RNA
About the family: 5.8S ribosomal RNA (5.8S rRNA) is a component of the large subunit of the eukaryotic ribosome.
Source: RNAcentral
AAACUUUCAACAAUGGAUCUCUUGGCUCUUGCAUCGAUGAAGAACGCAGCGAAAUGCGAUAGGUAAUAUGAAUUGCAGAAUUCCGUGAAUCAUCAAAUUUUUGAACGCAAAUUGCACUUCUUGGUAUUCCAAUAAGUACACAUGCUUGAGGGUCAGUU